AUUCAGCUGACGAGUCCCAAAUAGAACGAAAUGCGCGACCUGGAU
RNAcentral lists this non-coding RNA (45 nucleotides) under Schistosoma mansoni. The record is from RNAcentral. Lineage: Eukaryota; Metazoa; Platyhelminthes; Trematoda; Strigeidida; Schistosomatidae.